GUCGUAACAAGGUUUCCGUAGGUGAACCUGCGGAAGGAUCAUUAAAGAGUUGGCCUCUGCUGGGUGGGCUUGCCGCUCGCCUGGUGGGGAUGAGAGAGUGGAAGUUCUCGGGUCUCCUUGCUCCUCGGCUGGCUGCCUGCUGAAAGGCGGGCUGGCUGGCUGGGAGGCGAGGUGAGCCUGGCGGCCUGGGCCUGUCUGCCCUGUGCCGACCACACCAUGUCCGGUCCGGUCGGAGCCCUCGGCUCUCCGGGCUCGCUGGUGGCCCUUUGGGGCGAGGUACGGUGCCUCCAAGACAGCUUGAGAGGAUCGACCGGCGGAUCGAAUGCUGUGGCUUUGAGCGAGCAUCUCGAACUGUCCGGUCGGCUAACCGUUCAAAGACCUCCGCCUCCCUCAAGGGUUUGAUUGUGCCCCCUACCCUCGUGGUGGGAUGUUGGAAAAGGAGGAGUGAUUGUCGGUUUAUUUUUCUGUUCUUCGACCUGAAGCCCGGCCUGACGGGCUGGGUUGAAGGGAGAGGAAAAAAUGGAAAAAAUAUCACACCGUACAGUGGAUCACUUGGCUCGGGGGUCGAUGAAGAACGCAGUUAGCUGCGCGUCGGAAUGUGAACUGCAGGACAUAUGAGCAUCGACACUUUGAACGCAUAUUGCGGACCGGGGUUCGUCCCCUGUCCAUGUCUGGCUCAGGGUCGGUUUAACAUCCAUCCAGCUUGGAUUCAACUAGAGUCCUUGCUGGCGUUGGGGUCUGUCUCUGCUGGCGCUCUGAGAGUGCUGGCAGAGUCCCCCGAAGAUGUGCCGCCUGCCUUGCUGGAGGUGAGCCCUUGCUGACUCUUGGGUGUGAUGAUGAUGAUGGCUGCGGGAGACCGCGGCUGUCGUCUGUCUGCCUGGGUUGGCUUCGAAUGGGGUUCGCUUCCGGUGGUGGGCAAGCGGGCGUGGGGCUCUGAGUUCCCUGUGCCCGCUGACCGAUAAGGAAUACUUCUGACCUGAGAGCAGGCAAGGCUACCCGCUGAACUUAAGCAUA
This 1014-nucleotide ribosomal RNA is filed under the name Ergasilus hypomesi. Its description in RNAcentral is "eukaryotic LSU rRNA". The stretch from base 533 to 685 matches the Rfam family "5.8S ribosomal RNA". Lineage: Eukaryota; Metazoa; Arthropoda; Copepoda; Poecilostomatoida; Ergasilidae. The record is from RNAcentral.